RNAcentral lists this ribosomal RNA (1522 nucleotides) under Salmonella enterica subsp. enterica serovar Senftenberg. RNAcentral's name for it is "bacterial SSU rRNA". It matches the Rfam family "Bacterial small subunit ribosomal RNA". Lineage: Bacteria; Pseudomonadati; Pseudomonadota; Gammaproteobacteria; Enterobacterales; Enterobacteriaceae. The record is from RNAcentral. RNAcentral also lists the same sequence under 2 other names.
AGAGUUUGAUCAUGGCUCAGAUUGAACGCUGGCGGCAGGCCUAACACAUGCAAGUCGAACGGUAACAGGAAGCAGCUUGCUGCUUCGCUGACGAGUGGCGGACGGGUGAGUAAUGUCUGGGAAACUGCCUGAUGGAGGGGGAUAACUACUGGAAACGGUGGCUAAUACCGCAUAACGUCGCAAGACCAAAGAGGGGGACCUUCGGGCCUCUUGCCAUCAGAUGUGCCCAGAUGGGAUUAGCUUGUUGGUGAGGUAACGGCUCACCAAGGCGACGAUCCCUAGCUGGUCUGAGAGGAUGACCAGCCACACUGGAACUGAGACACGGUCCAGACUCCUACGGGAGGCAGCAGUGGGGAAUAUUGCACAAUGGGCGCAAGCCUGAUGCAGCCAUGCCGCGUGUAUGAAGAAGGCCUUCGGGUUGUAAAGUACUUUCAGCGGGGAGGAAGGUGUUGUGGUUAAUAACCACAGCAAUUGACGUUACCCGCAGAAGAAGCACCGGCUAACUCCGUGCCAGCAGCCGCGGUAAUACGGAGGGUGCAAGCGUUAAUCGGAAUUACUGGGCGUAAAGCGCACGCAGGCGGUCUGUCAAGUCGGAUGUGAAAUCCCCGGGCUCAACCUGGGAACUGCAUUCGAAACUGGCAGGCUUGAGUCUUGUAGAGGGGGGUAGAAUUCCAGGUGUAGCGGUGAAAUGCGUAGAGAUCUGGAGGAAUACCGGUGGCGAAGGCGGCCCCCUGGACAAAGACUGACGCUCAGGUGCGAAAGCGUGGGGAGCAAACAGGAUUAGAUACCCUGGUAGUCCACGCCGUAAACGAUGUCUACUUGGAGGUUGUGCCCUUGAGGCGUGGCUUCCGGAGCUAACGCGUUAAGUAGACCGCCUGGGGAGUACGGCCGCAAGGUUAAAACUCAAAUGAAUUGACGGGGGCCCGCACAAGCGGUGGAGCAUGUGGUUUAAUUCGAUGCAACGCGAAGAACCUUACCUGGUCUUGACAUCCACAGAAGAAUCCAGAGAUGGAUUUGUGCCUUCGGGAACUGUGAGACAGGUGCUGCAUGGCUGUCGUCAGCUCGUGUUGUGAAAUGUUGGGUUAAGUCCCGCAACGAGCGCAACCCUUAUCCUUUGUUGCCAGCGGUCCGGCCGGGAACUCAAAGGAGACUGCCAGUGAUAAACUGGAGGAAGGUGGGGAUGACGUCAAGUCAUCAUGGCCCUUACGACCAGGGCUACACACGUGCUACAAUGGCGCAUACAAAGAGAAGCGACCUCGCGAGAGCAAGCGGACCUCAUAAAGUGCGUCGUAGUCCGGAUUGGAGUCUGCAACUCGACUCCAUGAAGUCGGAAUCGCUAGUAAUCGUGGAUCAGAAUGCCACGGUGAAUACGUUCCCGGGCCUUGUACACACCGCCCGUCACACCAUGGGAGUGGGUUGCAAAAGAAGUAGGUAGCUUAACCUUCGGGAGGGCGCUUACCACUUUGUGAUUCAUGACUGGGGUGAAGUCGUAACAAGGUAACCGUAGGGGAACCUGCGGUUG